CCUACUGGUGGCUGCAGUGGGGAAUAUUGGGCAAUGGGCGCAAGCCUGACCCAGCAACGCCGCGUGAAGGAAGAAGGCUUUCGGGUUGUAAAAUUCUUUUCUCAGGGACGAAGAAAGUGACGGUACUGGAGGAAUCAGACACGGCUAACUACGUGCCAGCAGCCGCGGUAAUACGUAGGGGGCAAGCGUUAUCCGGAUUUACUGGGUGUAAAGGGCGUGUAGGCGGGAAAGUAAGUCAGAUGUGAAAACAAUGGGCUCAACCUGUGGCCUGCAUUUGUAACUGUUUUUCUUGAGUACUGGAGAGGCAGACGGAAUUCCGAGUGUAGCGGUGAAAUGCGUAGAUAUUAGGAGGAACACCAGUGGCGAAGGCGGUCUGCUGGACAGCAACUGACGCUGAGGCGCGAAAGCGUGGGGAGCAAACAGGAUUAGAUACCCCUGUAGUC
Molecule: ribosomal RNA, 443 nt
Filed under: uncultured bacterium
Lineage: Bacteria
Description: partial 16S ribosomal RNA
Rfam family: Bacterial small subunit ribosomal RNA
Source: RNAcentral